CGGUACNUANCCAGAAAGCCACGGCUAACUACGUGCCAGCAGCCGCGNUAAUACGUAGGUGGCAAGCGUNNUCCNGNAAUUAUUGGGCGUAAAGCGCGCGCAGGCGGUUUCUUAAGUNUGAUGUGAAAGCCCCCGGCUCAACCGGGGAGGGUCAUUGGAAACUGGGGAACUUGAGUGCAGAAGAGGAGAGUGGAAUUCCACGUGUAGCGGUGAAAUGCGUAGAGAUGUGGAGGAACACCAGUGGCGAAGGCGACUCUCUGGUCUGUAACUGACGCUGAGGCGCGAAAGCGUGGGGAGCGAACAGGAUUAGAUACCCUGGUAGUCCACGCCGUAAACGAUGAGUGCUAAGUGUUAGAGGGUUUCCGCCCUUUAGUGCUGCAGCAAACGCAUUAAGCACUCCGCCUGGGGAGUACGGUCGCAAGACUGAAACUCAAAGGAAUUGACGGGGGCCCGCACAAGCGGUGGAGCAUGUGGUUUAAUUCGAAGCAACGCGAAGAACCUUACCAGGUCUUGACAUCCUCUGACAACCCUAGAGAUAGGGCUUCCCCUUCGGGGGCAGAGUGACAGGUGGUGCAUGGUUGUCGUCAGCUCGUGUCGUGAGAUGUUGGGUUAAGUCCCGCAACGAGCGCAACCCUUGAUCUUAGUUGCCAGCAUUCAGUUGGGCACUCUAAGGUGACUGCCGGUGACAAACCGGAGGAAGGUGGGGAUGACGUCAAAUCAUCAUGCCCCUUAUGACCUGGGCUACACACGUGCUACAAUGGGCAGAACAAAGGGCAGCGAAGCCGCGAGGCUAAGCCAAUCCCACAAAUCUGUUCUCAGUUCGGAUCGCAGUCUGCAACUCGAAUGCGUUAAGC
Molecule: ribosomal RNA, 854 nt
Filed under: Bacillus licheniformis
Lineage: Bacteria; Bacillati; Bacillota; Bacilli; Caryophanales; Bacillaceae
Description: bacterial SSU rRNA
Rfam family: Bacterial small subunit ribosomal RNA
Source: RNAcentral